This 795-nucleotide ribosomal RNA is filed under the name uncultured archaeon. RNAcentral describes it as "bacterial SSU rRNA". It matches the Rfam family "Archaeal small subunit ribosomal RNA", at positions 85 to 879 of the family's 1478-position model. The record is from RNAcentral.
ACGGCUCAGUAACACGUGGACAACCUACCCUGAGGUCGGGGAUAAACCCGGGAAACUGGGUAUAAUACCCGAUAGAUCUAGAUCGCUGGAAUGCUUUUAGGUCUAAAGUUCCGACGCCUCAGGAUGGGUCUGCGGCCUAUCAGGGUAGUAGUGGGUGCAAAGUACCUACUAGCCCACGACGGGUACGGGUUGUGAGAGCAAGAGCCCGGAGAUGGAUUCUGAGACACGAAUCCAGGCCCUACGGGGUGCAGCAGGCGCGAAACCUUUACAAUGCUGGCAACAGCGAUAAGGGGACCUCGAGUGCUACGAUACAAUCGUGGCUGUCUAGUUGCCUAAAAAGCAAUUGAUAGCAAGGGCCGGGCAAGACCGGUGCCAGCCGCCGCGGUAACACCGGCGGCUCGAGUGGUAACCGCUAUUAUUGGGUCUAAAGGGUCUGUAGCCGGCUUAGUUAGUCUCUUGAGAAAUCUGGCCGCUCAACGGUCAGGCGUUCAGGGGAUACUGCUAAAGCUCGAGACCGGGAGAGGUGAGAGGUACUUCAGGGGUAGGGGUGAAAUCUUGUAAUCCUUGAAGGACCACCAGUGGCGAAGGCGUCUCACCAGAACGGAUCUGACGGCAAGGGACGAAAGCUAGGGGCACGAACCGGAUUAGAUACCCGGGUAGUCCUAGCCGUAAACGAUACUCGCUAGGUGUCGGCCACGGUGCGACCGUGGUCGGUGCCGUAGGGAAGCCGUGAAGCGAGCCACCUGGGAAGUACGGCCGCAAGGCUGAAACUUAAAGGAAUUGGCGGGGGAGCAC